This 823-nucleotide long non-coding RNA is filed under the name Microcebus murinus (gray mouse lemur). Its description in RNAcentral is "lncRNA (ENSMICG00000048662.1)". Lineage: Eukaryota; Metazoa; Chordata; Mammalia; Primates; Cheirogaleidae. The record is from RNAcentral.
AAUAAGGUAAAAAUGAAUUAAAGUAAUUUUGUUAAUAAUUCCACUCGUUUGUUAGAUUCACAUUGGAAGACAUCUGAAAAGGACAACUUACUUGUGUUACUGCCAACAUCUCCUCCUGUGGCAGGAGAGCUCCUUGGACUUUCUUUGGAAAAUACCUCUGAGAACGACACACAUGAGGUUGUUGAUGCCCCAUGUGUCAAUACAGGAAAGACAGUUGCCCAGGGAAGCAGAAACAUGGCCUCUAUUUUAAAGUUCACUGAUGACAUCCUCAAGCUACAGAGGUGCAGGAUGUUUUAAAGAAAACUGACUGUGACUUGGAGCACUGUAAUGAAGAAAGUGCUCAAAUAGAACAUCCACUUGAGCCCAAACUUUUUGGAGUCUCUCUGAAAUACAUUUGUAAGAACGACAAUCUGCUGACACCUAUCAUGAAUAUUCUUUUGUUCCUGAAUGACAAAGCCCCUCUCAAGGAAGGCAUCUUCUUUGUACCGGCUGACAUGGAAUACUGCCAACAACUAAAAGAAAAACUUAAUUGUGGAGUACUGGUACAGCUGUACUGGGAAAAUGCCUUUGUGCUGGUGUCUAUUUUAAUGGUAGGAAAAGUUCUUCCUUUAUUCAUAGCACGUGUAGCUCUCAAGAUAAUUUUUUUUAAUUGUGAGCAUUAUUUCUGCCUACAAUGACCUAUAAUAGAUUUAGAAAUGAAAUAGUGUUAAAAAACAUUUCACAAAUCAACACUGGACAUUAAAAACCAUCACCACUGAUAUGACAUAAGAUGUCCUUUUAAAAUAGUUUUCGUGUCAUGCUAAUCUCAUAUUCACUUCUGAAA